RNAcentral lists this long non-coding RNA (1347 nucleotides) under Triticum aestivum (bread wheat). RNAcentral describes it as "long non-coding RNA (TAES_LNC002020)". The record is from RNAcentral. Lineage: Eukaryota; Viridiplantae; Streptophyta; Magnoliopsida; Poales; Poaceae.
GUGAGUUGUGAUCUGAGUGUCCUCUCAUAUUCGACAACUGAUAAGAUUAAUGUAAGUUAAGUUGUGAAGCUUAUUGAAUACCUUAUGUGCAGACAUGGGAUUGGCAUACACAUACCUUUUUUUCCUUUAUCAUAGAGAUGCUCUCUGUACUGUGACAUCUUUCUGUUCUAUAGAAGCUUAAAUAAACCUGCAGUCUUUUUGCAUUAAAAAAUGAUAUGAAUUGAAUUAGAAAAAUGAUAUGACCUCUGGUGACUCAUUUAACAGGCUUUUUGGACUCACUUGUUCAUUUUCAUAGACAUGUUCUUUGCAUAUGGUUUUCUUCCAAAGUAAAAUGAUUGUGCUAUUAUAUGUUGACGUCUGAAGUUUGUAUAUUUCAGUUUAUAAAGUGCAAGAUUUUGUAGAAGUUCAAUGUUUUAAAAAGAGGGCUCGGACAUGGCGACAAGAAUGAAGGUGGAGGGGAAGGAGUGGAGAGAAAGAUGUCUGUCUCCACGUGGUGCGAAAAAGACUAUACAGGAUUCUGGAGGUGAGCUUAAAUGAAAGUAUUUCCUUCUAUCACUAUUCCUGUCGCGAGGCAUGUUUGUUCCCAUGAUGUAAAAGUAAACAUGGUCUGAGAUUACCUAAUCUUAUACUGCAAUUUCAGAAUUUCCUAGAUUUUUUUGACAGUUUCAACACAUGUUCUUCUUACUAAAAUGAACCUGCAGUCUUUUUGCAUUACAAAAAUGAUAUGACAUACUAUAGGACUUUAGCAAUAUCCUUUACGGAACAGGGCAAUAUUCUUUACAGAACCGGUGAUGCAGAUGCAGAUUGGUUUUGGUACGCAACUAACUUAAUCAAAAUCCUUUCUGGCCAUAAGUAUGCGCAUACUACAUGGUUUUGAUAUAUAUGCCUUUUUCUUCAAGUAGUAUGCUCCAAUUUUUUGUCUUCGUGUAUAUUGCCACUCCAAAAUGAAGUCAAAGGCUUCAUUGCCCCCCUCCACCACAGAGUAAUUAAAGGUACCUGCAGUUUUUUUGUUCUUAUUUUUUGUUGGACAAUUCAUCUAAGUAAAAGAGUUUACAAUGGAUAGCUGCAUUUCAUUUAUAGCUUGUACAACCAUGAAUGCAUUAUACUCUCCCUAACUACUUGGCAGGAAAGAUUAAUGCGAAUAGAACAGGUGGCAUAACUCAUUAGAUUUUGUAACUUUGCGGAAUAAGUGCUAAUGUAGUUGGAGUAAAAGUUAAAGAUGCAAUCUGAGUACUAACGUUAUGAAGUUUUGAACAGGAGUCUAGGAUGGCAAACCUAGGGCGUGAUGGGCAGCAUGAAACAUAAGAAAGGUGGAUAUCCGUCCUGUGCCGUCGGAGAGGAAGAAGA